RNAcentral lists this long non-coding RNA (30060 nucleotides) under Triticum aestivum (bread wheat). RNAcentral describes it as "long non-coding RNA (TAES_LNC000710)". The stretch from base 7879 to 8013 matches the Rfam family "MIR1120/MIR1122 microRNA precursor family". The record is from RNAcentral. Lineage: Eukaryota; Viridiplantae; Streptophyta; Magnoliopsida; Poales; Poaceae.
ACAUCCUGGCUGGAAGCGGAAUAGUUCUCCUACGGGAGUCGAGGAGAGACGCGGCUGUGAUUUGGUCAUAGAUUCUUCUGUAUUAUGUAGUAUUUUAAGUGCGGUGAAGAAUUAUUUUUGCGUAGAAGUGUGGUGUAAGAAGUUUUUUCUUUUGCGUGGAAGUGUGUUGUAAGAAUUUUAAAUCUCCCUCUGGAACAAAUGCGGAGAAAUGUUCAAGGAAUUGCUCUGUUUGUACAUUGGUCAAGUUAAUAAUGAAAAGAAUUCCCUGCGUUGCUUUGGCUGGAUCUGUUCGGCUCCACAUAAAGACCCGCUGUGCUAUUUUCCUUCCCCUUAUGUGCAAACAUAAACCCCUGUGAGGAUGCAGUAAUUUAGCAGGCAGUCGACGACCAGAAGACUGCAGUCAUGUAACAGUUUCUGUGAGUUGAUUACUGGUGAGUUUACAUUCGUCUAAUUUGCAGAUUUCAAGGAAAAGGAGAAAGAAAGACGGCAGAAUUUUCUGGACGGUACAUGUCCAAACCAUAUCCACUUGCCCUUGUCUGUUUGCAGGGAGGUACAUGUGCAGGAGAAACAAGCGAAGAGGGUGUGGAGAAGAGGGGGCACAGCGUCUGGGGGUGAGAUAAUGAGCAGCAGCAGCAGCAGCUUGGCGUCCACCAUUUCUGCAGCAGCCACUGCUGCUCGUCCUCGCCAUGGCGCGGUGAAGCAGCAGCUGAGCGCUAGGGUGAAGCCACACCAGAAGCAUGCUGCAGGCUGCUGGGAGAGCAGUGGCAGCGGCAGCAGCAGGGCUGUGGUGGCGAGGGCUGGGCCCGGGCCGCUGACGGAGAUUGAGCCGGACCUGCAGGAGGACCCCAUCGACAAGUGGCGCACCAACGGCGUCCUCCCGGUCUGGAGCGAUUUCCUUGGUUUUCUUGUUCUUGCUGCUGUGUUGUCUGAGGAAUUGGGAUGACGCUGCAGUGAAAUUGUUUUGCAGGAGGACUUUGUGUAUGGAGUGUAUGACGGCCACCACACCUAUGAUGAAGGCCAAGGUCUCUUAUCUUGUGUAUUAUCUUGUAUACAGAACAAAUUAUAUGCAUGCGUUUCUUUAGCUAAAAGUUGUGCUGAUUCUAAUGUGAUGUGGUGAAACCAAUCAUUCAACUGAAGAAAAGAAGGGCUUCUGGGAGGAUGUCUCUGAGUGGUACCAAGAAGCUGAGCCUCCUCAGGGCUUCCAAGGUACACUCACUCAUGGUGCCUUUUGCUAUCUGGAAACAGUAUACAUGUCCUUGAAUCUUUCUCAUUAGCAUCAAUGGCAAUCUCUUGCAGCACUCAUCUCCUGGGCAUUCCCUCCCGCAGUCAUCCUCGGAAUGGCUUUCGAUGUGCCGGUACGGAUCGAGUAGUUCCAUUAACCCCUAUUCCUCCUAUUUACAUGCAUCAUCUAUCUGUCUUGGGCUUACUGAACGGAGGAAGACUCAUGGUCUAUUUGUGUCACUAGGGGGAGUACCUUUACAUUGGGGCAGCUAUCUUCAUCGUCGUGUUCUGCGUCAUCGAGAUGGACAAGCCGGACAAACCGCACAACUUUGAGCCGGAGAUCUACAUGAUGGAGAGGUCCAAGCGCGACAAGCUCAUCGCGGACUACAACUCCAUGGACAUCUGGGACUUCAACGAGAAGUACGGCGAGCUCUGGGACUUCACCGUCAACAGAGAUGACCUCAUCCAACCAUAGGUGCCAUUCAGAAAUGGUGGUCGCGUUGGCUAGAUUCAGAAAUGGAGGCCAGUUCAGAUGACAUGUAUGAUAGUGAUAUAAGCACUCUCUAAGGAAAUCAGGGAUGGCAUAGCUCCAAGAAAAGGAUCUUCAAAUAAAGCAUCCUUGUAAAAAAUGCAGAGCAAAUUGUCAGAAAACACUAUGCUACUAAGGAUGGCAAAUGUCUAAAAUUGUAGAGAUAUAUAAAGUUGCCUGUUUGGCACUACCCUCUCGAUGUUACAAAAGUCUAGCAAAAAAGAAUUGUCAUUCUUUUUUGUACAAGUUGAAACCCUAUGUCGAAUAACGAAGAAAAUAAACCAAGGGUGAAAAGGGAAGCCUAACAGCUCCUCCUUUUUUGUACACUUGAGUUGCACAGCUGAUGAUGAGCUGGCUCGCUAUGACAAGAAACUAAUGGGGCAAAAUUGGAGCUAGAAUAGCUAAUCUAUAACCCUGAAAGAGGAAACUAGCUUAGCCUUUGAAAUGCUAUAACUUUCCAUUCUUCUUCAUCUUGAUGAUGUGAAGAGUUGGCUGCCUAGGGUCACAGUUGUGUCGCCCACUGGCAUGGCUGUCGUCCUCCUGAUCUCCUGCUCGCGUAUCCGGUGUAUCUCGGCUUCCACCAGGCUCAUCGACGGACGAUCCUCGCUUGUCGGGUUCACGCACCGCGAUGCCAAGCGCAACAAUUCCUUCAUGCCUUGUGGGGUAAAGCCACUGGUCAUUCUCCUAUCUGCUAUUGCAGAGAUUUCACUUGAUUCUUGAAAGUUCCGAACCUGCAUAUCAGAGAUGGAUAGUAAGCAAACUGAAACCUUGGCUCUGGUAUGAUGAUAGAUAUUAUGAGAAUAAUAUGGAAAAGAGGAAUUGAACAAUCAUCAGGAAUCGGUAGAAUUUACCCAUUCAAUAAUGCCUUGAUCAGACGCAGCCGUCCUUCCACUGAUCAACUCCACAAGGAACACACCAAAACUGUAUACAUCACUUUGUAUGGAAAAAAUCAUGGACUCCUUCCCCCUGGUCAUGCAACAAAUCUCCAUUAAAAACAGACACGGGAUGCCGAUAAAUUUGCUACUAUCACAGGCAGCACACUGAAAGCAUAUAGUUUGUACUAUUCACUAAUGGAAGUCAAGGGAUGUAAUUAACAACUUUUAAGUUUUAACCCCCCCAAAGAAGAAGCUCAGUCAUUACCGAGGAUCAACGAAUGGAUCAUUGAAUAUCAUCGAAGGCGGGCCAGCAUUGCCUAGUCGAUCAAGUAGGCCUCGGAUGCCAGUAUCAGCAACUUUUGGUAAGAAAUCCGCAUCCACCAGGACAUUAGCAGUUUUGAAGUUCAUGUGAACAGCAGGAGGGGUCAUGGAAUGCAGGUGACUCAGGCCUGAGUAACAGUAACAGGAAAGGUCAUUAUAUUAAGAUUCAUUGCAUAACUAUUGUGACUGAAAAUGAGGCAAUCCAUAAGAGAAUAAGCUUCUGCCAAUAAAGGAAAUUAGGAGUUGGUGCCGAUGUAUACUUACCCUUAGCGGUUCCAUGAGCAAUAGCAAGUCUCUGCUUGAAUUCUAGCCUCACAGUUGGAGAAUUGCCGUUGCCUGUAGAGGGAUGGCAGAAAGAUAGAUAAAAUUAGCACUUCUGAUGCUCUUCUUGUACAUCAGAACUAUAAAUAGGAAAUACACAAUGGAAAAAUCACCAUGCAAAUGCGCAGAAAUGCUGCCAUUGGGGACAUACUGAUAAACAAGCAUCUGCAUGCCAUUGUCCUGGCAAUACCCCAAGAGAUUUACAAGGUUGGGAUGACGACGGAUAGACGACAGGUAAUUAACCUGGGGAGAAAAGGCCAACAACAACCAUGAGUUCAUGUAUUGGUUUUGAUCUCAGGAAGCAAGGUUUUGAUUUCUUACAACAUGCCACUACUCUAGGAGAAAAUUUUGGCACCUCAUGGAGAAAUUCCUGGCUAGGAGGAGAAUGCCGCCUUUUAACCGCUAUAAUUGUGCCAUCCUGGAGCAAACCGUUGUAUACCUCUCCGAACAUUCCAUGUCCGACGAGAUUCGAGCUGCUGAAGUUAUUUGUAGCAGACCUUAGUUCCUCCAGUGUCAUACAUCUUGCUCCUUGCAUGUCUAGAGUACAUAAUAAAAGCAGUCUGUUAAGCUAAAAUGCUAAUUUGACACUAGCUGAAAAACACUGAAAUUAAAAGCCCCUCGAAUACUAAUUUGAGCGGUACCUGGAAGAGCUUGACCGGACGAAUUACUCUCUGAAGAAUCUGAAUUCCGUCUGCCGUGCCGUAGGCAUAGCACUACAAUGAGUGUGAUGGCACCAACUAAUGCCAAACCUCCUGCAGCUCCUCCUAGAGCUACUGCAAGAAUGUCUGACAUCUAGUAUGCAAUCUCCUCCUUCAGAAUAGGAUAGUAACUUUUGUAGCAGCGGCGAUGCAGACAGAUAUAACCUAAAUAUUAGUACAUUUUAAUUUUUCUGGACUUAACAUUGAAGUAGCAAUAACAGUAACCGACAGAUUGCUGAAUCGACAGCGCAGCAAUACAAAGCAAACUAAACAGUUGCAGAAUACAAAAUGGAGCAUAUGUGCCAUAUAUGGAUGGACCGGUUAAAUGAGAGAUGAAUGUGAGCAGUUGUAAACUAGGAAAGCGCAUUCCGCCAAUGACGUAAGCAGCACGGGCCAAGCAAUUAUUAGUGCAUAAAACAGAGAAAGGACAACUAAGUUAUCUUUUGUUUUGCGGGGGACAACUAAGUUAUCAGAUGGAACAAUGCAAACAUGUUGACAUUCAGAACUGAAUAUUGAGUGGCCUGGCAGUUCGCUCAUUUUUGCCAUUUAUCGCAUUCCUUUUAUUUCCUAGAUAACGUGCACGACCGUUGCAAUAUUAAGAAAUUCCGCGCCAUCAGAGGACUUCCGGGCUAUAACACGUACUAAAUUCUCAUGCAAUACAAUGAGCCUCGUGAAUUCUCAUACAAUUGCGUGGUGUUGCGUCUUGCGCCUUUUGCCUUUUAUUUCCCAGACCAUUGCAAUAUUCAAAUAUUUCGCGCCAUGACUAUUACUAAUAAAAUUCCCAUGGUAUGCAAAGAGCCUCUCAAAUACAAUAAUCUGUGCUGCAUAUUCUUCUAUUUGGUUGACAAUGCAUGAUCAUAUACAGACACAAAAAAAAAGUCCACUACAGCACUAUAUAUAACAGGAACGCUUCGUCGCCCAUACAAAAGGUUUUGCGAAAGCUUCCUCUGUAGUAGUGCUUGCAAACCACCAAUGUCCAAUGCCUUUAACAAUCCCCAGUUGUACUACAUGUUAAAUCGAAAUUUAAUAAAAGAAGAAUGCAGAAUUCUUCAACUUUUGUUAUCUAACAGUAUGGCAUUGGCCUUAUGGGCGCUGAAGGAAAUCAUGCAGUAGGACAAGAAUUGCUCCUAGUAUGAAAAAAAAACAGAAGCACAACUGUUGCUCCAUAUGUACGUGCUACAGUACAUAAAUAAGAAUAACAAGCACGCAGUAUGAUCUAUAACAAAUAAGCUAUAUCAACAAAUUCCACAGCAAUCAUGCAGAUAAUAUCUAUCUUAUCCCCAGAGCACACAUCAAGCCCAUCUGAUCCUGGUGCAAGAAAGGAGCAGGAGCAUGCAAAGACUAUCAAUCACCCAGAGUAGAGAGAAUGUCCGAAGAAUCCAUGGCAUACAUACCUGAAGAUUGACGAGGUCUCCCGGCGUCAUCUCCCUCCAGGCACAAGAGCAGGAUCAAACGCUGAAGCCAUAUCGCAAGACUUUUAUCCCCUUCUUCUCCCUCCUUGUCCCUAUCCUGCCAUCAACAACAAAGGACAAAAUUCCUGCUUGGUUCAUGGCAAGAGAAAAGAAAUCAACAGAGGAGAAAACCAAAAUCAAGCAUGAAAAAUGUGCAAGGAACAUUCAGAUCACUGUCACGGAAGAUCAGAAGAAGCAUGUUUGAUUAGCAGAAACAUCAUCUUGGAAGAUGAGAAGAAACAUUUGCAGGGAGAGCAGGGUGGCAAGAAUCCACGCAUGAGAAAAACAGGGGAGGUGGAGAAACAGGGGAGGCAGGAAACUCACCUGUGGCUUCUUCUUCUUCCUCCUCCUGCUCAGGUGCCUAUGAUUGGGAAGAUUGGGGAGGGGGGAGGGGUUUGGGGGAGGACGGGGGAGGGGAGAGGGGACAGGAGAGCCAGCACAGCCAGCCAACACCAGCGGGAGGGAACCAGCAGGCCAAGUAUAUAUAAUGGUCUGCGAGAGGCGCCGCAUCAAAAUGUGCCUAGGAAAAACGUGAGCCGCCCGCCGCUUGUAUUGGCAUUGCAGGCAGCGAGAAAUUUACUUACUGCCUAAAAAGGAUUCUGUAAGCGGGGCUGAGCAGGUCCGCCAUGGUCCAUGCUGACGUCGCAUAAGCUGCCACUGCUCUUAAUCCCUCCUUAAUUAGCAAGAUCGCCUCUGCUGAGAGAGAAAAGAAUGAGAGGGAUGGAGGCAUCUCCCAGCGCAGGCCCAAUGAUUGCCCCCAAAGGCGAGGCGACAGUUCGUGGGGAUCGCGACACGACACCGCGCCGACGACGGGCGGCGACGCGGCCACCCAUUCUCCCGAUUCGUUGUUUUGUUCCUUUUUCCAGCAUAUUUUACUAUUGGGCAAUUCGUUGCAUCGUAUCGUGUUGUUAAAUUAUUGUAUCAUCCGAUGAAUGGAACGGAUGAAUCUUUCUGUCGAUCGGUCGAGCUUAACAAGAAAUGGCGUAGAAGGCGUCAAUGAUUGCUGGGAAGGCGCGGAGCAGAGUAGCAUGAGCGGGCCGAGCUGGAAGACAGCACAGGCGGACAGCAGCUGCACACCUCCUCACACUCACAGGCACCAGAGCAGAAAAGCUGCACACGCCCUUCUUCUUUCCUGGCCUGACGGACGCACGGAGGCCUUGUCACUUGUCACCUAGUGCUAGCAGUAGCUAGCCCCAGACCAGAAAGCAUACGCUUCGGAACUCGGAGUGAAUGAAUGAGCAAAUAUUGCUAAAUCUUUUUUAAACCAAUUCUUUGAUCCGCUUGUACAUUACUCCCUCCGUUCCUAAAUACAGUAUAAUCUUUCUAUAGAUUCUAUGAUGUACUGUAUAUAGACAUACUUUAGAGUGUGUAUUCAUUCAUUUUACUUCAUAUGUCGUAGUCUUUAUUGAAAUUUCUAAAAGACUUAUAUUUAGAAACGGAGGAAGUAUAUUUUAGUCUGCUCUACGUGCAUGCAUGCGCUACAGUUGUACUGCCUGCCUAGCUCGCGUCGAUCCAAGUAAGAUCCAAGCGAUACGGAUCGCCGCUGUGACACUUGCAUCCAUCCAUCCAUCCAUCCAUGGCGUUUUGCUGCAGGCUCCUCCCUCCGGAGUGGACUGGAGUGGAGUGGGCCGCCGCUGUGACCAGUGAGCUGUACGCGGCCAUCGCCGUCACCAUGCGUUUCUUUCUUCGCCUCCAUCCCUACCACUCCCUACCAACAUUUUUACCCCUCACUGCCAUCUCAUGGAAAUGGAGUAUUUUUUUUACCUUUUAAAAAUCAUUACUACUAUUACUAUACGUAGGUACCGCUGCUACACUGCUCACAAGCAUGCAUGCAUGCAGAGGAUUAUUUCGCAGUCCCCAAAUGCCAAUUUGUUCCUGCCAACUUUUUUUUUGGUCCGGGUUCUUUUGUGAGUCGCUUUAAGUUGGGGUUUUGAGACAAAUGGAUGGAUGGAGCCGGGCGCUCUCUCUCAUGGAAUGGAAUGCCUGCCCAUCCUUGUGAGCUGUACAUGAUGGACAGCUGAAAAGCCUGAAACGAAUGGAAGAUGCCAAAGGCAGAGGGGAAGGGGACCCAGAUUUCUCCCGACAGAUGGAGGGAGGGAAGGGCGAUUGGAUUGCAUGCAUGACAGCCUUGCGCUGUCCCAUCCUUGCUCCUCUCUUCCAUGCAUAUAACAUGCACUUGAUUUUGCUUCUUAGCCUUAAUUUAGAAUGUUCUUAAAGGCCUUACAUGAACACCCUUGGUACAAGUAAAAAUUAUGGAGAAAUUCGUUGCCGUCUCCGACCUGCAGAAAGAUAUCAAGCUGAUCUAAAUGCUUUCGUGUUGAUUCACCUGACUAUUUCUUCGCGCUCUCGAGGUUCGUUGGAUCGGCCGGACUCCCUUCAUUUGAAAGCUAGUGUAAAUCAUCAAAGAUUUUCAGGAUUUGUCUUUCACCAAGAAUUUAUUCGAAAUACAAUAUGUCAGUUCCAAUAUGCUCCCUCCGUCCCAAAAUUCUUGUCUUAGAUUUGUCUAGAUACGGAUGUAUCUAAUACUAAAACGUGAGUUGAUACAUUCGUAUUUAGACAAAUUUAAGACAAAAAUUUUGGGACGGAGGGAGUACAUAUUAACAUCGCUGGACGCUUUACUAUUCGAAAACAAUAUACCAACAAGUUGUUGCAUAUCCAAAAGAUUUUGUGUUGAUGCACUUGACUAUUUGUUUGUGCUUUACCGCUUCCCUUCGUCUGCAAGCUAGUAAAAGGCGUAAGAGAUUUCCAAGAUUUUUUUUUUGCGGGUAGAGAUUUCCAAGAUUUAUUGUUUAAGGAGGAUUCAUUCGAUAUAUACGUGAGUUACAAGAUACGUAUUAAUAUCGCUGGACUCGUUUUUAAUAUUCGGAAACAGUAGACCAACAAGAUGUUGCAUAUCCAAAAGAUUUUGUGUUGAUACACAUGACUUUUUUUGUGUGGGUAAACUUGACUAUUUCUUUUUGCUUUCGACUCUCGAUCGUACUCCCUUCGCAAGGAAGCUAGUAGUAGUAAUGAAGAGUCGUAAGAGGUUCCCAAGAUUUAUCAUUUACCAAGAAUUUAUUUGGGUUAUACGUGAGUUACAAGAUACGUAUUAAUAUUGGUGGAUAUGUCGCUAUUAAACACAAUAUUUGGUGGCAUUGAUUUUGUAUCACAAAAUCUAUUUUUUUUGCGGGUCACAAAAUCUAUGUAUAGCACUAAUGAAUUAAUGGCCAAAAACAAAAUCUUUGAAAGCGCGUAUGAGUCACAUUUCUAGAUCGAAUACUGAGUUAUACGGUAUUAAUUCCGUACCAAAUAAUAUAUUUAGCCAUAAUAACAUAAUAUAUAGUGUACUAAUGAAUGGCCAAAAUGAAAUCUUCACAUUUACAUUUCCGUACAGAAAAACAAAAGGCGUAGACGUAGUGGUGGGGAGUGUUGGUGACUCGUAUANNNNNNNNNNNNNNNNNNNNNNNNNNNNNNNNNNNNNNNNNNNNNNNNNNNNNNNNNNNNNNNNNNNNNNNNNNNNNNNNNNNNNNNNNNNNNNNNNNNNNNNNNNNNNNNNNNNNNNNNNNNNNNNNNNNNNNNNNNNNNNNNNNNNNNNNNNNNNNNNNNNNNNNNNNNNNNNNNNNNNNNNNNNNNNNNNNNNNNNNNNNNNNNNNNNNNNNNNNNNNNNNNNNNNNNNNNNNNNNNNNNNNNNNNNNNNNNNNNNNNNNNNNNNNNNNNNNNNNNNNNNNNNNNNNNCGGCCGGCUGUUGGCGCUCCCGUGCACGACAUUUCCCUCACGUACGUGCUGUACUUGUUUGGACGGUUCAUGCAUGCAUGACCCUGCUAGCUAGCUUCGGGCCGGUCGGUCAGAAGUUUAUCUGCACUGCAUCAGCAGCUUUGUUCCUACCGUACCUACCUACCUAAGGGUACGUCGUCAUGCAUGCGUGCAGUGUUGGGUGCGAGUGCAACACAGCUAAGCUAAACUUCUCUUUCGAGAGUGAUAGAUAGAGUUGAGUUUAUCUUCGCGGACGGAUGGAUGCCACAUGUAUAUGCGUGUCUGUAUGCGUUGGGUACGUGGCCCGUGUGUCCGGGUUAGUACUACGUAGGCAGGCACGUAGCUUAGGCCAACUCCAACGCAGACCCAAACGGGCGCGGACAUUUGUCCGUUUGGGGUGUGAAAUGGGCGGCGACCAGGGGCGGACGGUCGGGCGACGCAUCUGCGUCCAACACACAGGAGAGGCCCCAACCGCCAAACACACGCGAACUCCAUCCGGCAGCUCCGACAGACAGAUGCCGUGCCUCGGAGGUGAGGUGCGGGGAGGAGGAGGACGGCGGCGGGCGACUGGCGCGGCCUCAACGAGGAGCGUGGGAGGGACGGGCUCCUCCGCCUCCCUGCAGCGUCGCCCUGGCAGCAGGCACGUGCCAGCAUCAGGAGGGCGACGACGCAGACGCAUUUGCUCGCGGCGCACUACCGGAAUCGCACCCUAUGCCGACGGCCAGGCCCUGACUGGCCGUCGGGACAGGCUUAUGCCGACGGCCCCCGUCGGCAUAGGGCUGUCGGUGUUGGGGAACGUAGUAAUUUCAAAAAAUUUCCUACGCACACGCAAGAUCAUGGUGAUGCAUAGCAACGAGAGGGGAGAGUGUUGUCCACGUACCCUCGUAGACCGACAGCGGAAGCGUUAUCACAACGCGGUUGAUGUAGUCGUACGUCUUCACGAUCCGACCGAUCAAGUACCGAACGUACCGCACCUCCGAGUUCUACACACGUUCAGCUCGAUGACGUCCCUCGAACUCCGAUCCAGCCGAGUGUUGAGGGAGAGUUUCGUCAGCACGACGGCGUGGUGACGAUGGUGAUGUUCCACCGACGCAGGGCUUCGCCUAAGCUCCGCAACGGUAUUAUCGAGGUGUAAUAUGGUGGAGGGGGGCACCGCACAUGGCUAAGAGAUCUCAAGGAUCAAUUGUUGUGUCUCUGGGGUGCCCCUGCCCCCGUAUAUAAAGGAGUAAGGGAGGAGGAGGCCGGCCCUAGGAGGGGGCGCACCAAGUGUGGAGUCCUACUAGGACUCCCUAGUCCUAGUAGGAUUCCACCUCCCAUAUGGAAUAGGAAAAGAGGAAGGGAAAAAGAGAAGGAAGGAAGGGAGCGCCCCCCUUCCCUAGUCCAAUUCGGACCAGACCAAGGGGAGGGGUGCGGCCACCCUUGAGGCCCUUUUCCUUCUUUCCCGUAUGGCCCAAUAAGGCCCAAUACGUAUUCCCGUAACUCUCCGGUACUCCGAAAAAUACCCGAAUCACUCGGAACCUUUCCGAAGUCCGAAUAUAGUCGUCCAAUAUAUCGAUCUUUACGUCUCGACCAUUUCGAGACUCCUCGUCAUGUCCCCGAUCUCAUCCGGGACUCCGAACUCCUUCGGUACAUCAAAACUCAAUAAAACUGUCUUCAUAACGUUAAGCGUGCGGACCCUACGGGUUCGAGAACUAUGUAGACAUGACCGAGACACGUCUCCGGUCAAUAACCAAUAGCGGGACCUGGAUGCCCAUAUUGGCUCCCACAUAUUCUACGAAGAUCUUUAUCGGUCAGACCGCAUAACAACAUACGUUGUUCCCUUUGUCACCGGUAUGUUACUUGCCCGAGAUUUGAUCGUCGGUAUCUCGAUACCUAGUUCAAUCUCGUUACCGGCAAGUCUCUUUACUCGUUCCGUAACACAUCGUCCCGCAACUAACUCAUUAGUCACAAUGCUUGCAAGGCUUAUAGUGAUGUGCAUUACCGAGUGGGCCCAGAGAUACCUCUCCGACAAUUGGAGUGACAAAUCCUAAUCUCGAAAUACGCCAACCCAACAAGUACCUUUGGAGACACCUGUAGAGCACCUUUAUAAUCACCCAUUUACGUUGUGACGUUUGGUAGCACACAAAGUGUUCCUCCGGUAAACGGGAGUUGCAUAAUCUCAUAGUCAUAGGAACAUGUAUAAGUCAUGAAGAAAGCAAUAGCAACAUACUAAACGAUCGAGUGCUAAGCUAACGGAAUGGGUCAAGUCAAUCACGUCAUUCUCCUAAUGAGGUGAUCUCGUUAAUCAAAUGACAACUUAUGUCUAUGGCUAGGAAACAUAACCAUCUUCGAUUAAUGAGCUAGUCAAGUACAGGCAUACUAGUGACACUCUGUUUGUCUAUAUAUUCACACAUGUAUUAUGUUUCCGGUUAAUACAAUUCUAGCAUGAAUAAUAAACAUUUAUCAUGAUAUAAGGAAAUAUAUAAUACUUUAUUAUUGCCUCUAGGGCAUAUUUCCUUCAGUCUCCCACUUGCACUAGAGUCAAUAAUCUAGUUCACAUCGCCAUGUGAUUUAACAUCAAUAAUUCACAUCACCAUGUGAUUAACACCCAUAGUUCACAUCUCUAUGUGACUAACACUCAAAGGGUUUACUAGAGUCAAUAAUCUAGUUCACAUCGCUAUGUGAUUAACACCCAAAGAGUACUAAGGUGUGAUCAUGUUUUGAUUGUGAGAUAAUUUUAGUCAAGGGGUCUGUCACAUUCAGAUCCGUAAGUAUUUUGCAAAUCUCUAUGUCUACAAUGCUCUGCACGGAGCUACUCUAGCUAAUUGCUCCCACUUUCAAUAUGUAUCUAGACCGAGACUUUAGAGUCAUCUAGAUUAGUGUCAAAACUUGCAUCGACGUAACCCUUUACGACGAACGUUUUGUCACUUCCAUAAUCGAGAAACAUUUCCUUAUUCCACUAAGGAUAAUUUUGACCGCUGUCCAGUGAUCUACUCCUAGAUCACUAUUGUACUCCCUUGCCAAAAUUAGUGUAGGGUAUACAAUACAUUUGGUACACAUCAUGGCAUACUUUAUAGAACCUAUGGCCAAGGCAUAGAAAAUGACUUUCAUUCCCGUUCUAUCUUUUGCCGUGGUCGGGCUUUGAGUCUUACUCAAUUUCAUACCUUGUAACACAGGCAAGAACUCUUUCUUUGACUGUUGUAUUUUGAACUACUUCAAAAUCUUGUUAAGGUAUGUACUCAUUGAAAAAACUUAUCAAGCGUCUUGAUCUAUCUCUAUAGAUCUUGAUGCUCAAUAUGUAAGCAGCUUCACCGAGGUCUUUCUUUGAAAAACUCCUUUCAAACACUCCUUUAUGCUUUGCAGAAUAAUUCUACAUUAUUUCCGAUCAACAAUAUGUCAUUCACAUAUACUUAUCAGAAAUGCUGUAGUGCUCCCACUCACUUUCUUGUAAAUACAGGCUUCACCGCAAGUCUGUAUAUAUCCUUUGAUCAACUUAUCAAAGUGUAUAUUCCAACUCCGAGAUGCUUGCACCAGUCCAUAGAUGGAUCGCUGGAGCUUGCAUAUUUUGUGAGCACCUUUAGGAUUGACAGAACCUUCUGGUUGCAUCAUAUACAACUCUUCUUUAAUAAAUCCAUUAAGGAAUGCAGUUUUGUUUAUCCAUUUGCCAGAUUUCAUAAAAUGCGGCAAUUGCUAACAUGAUUCGGACAGACUUUAAGCAUAGAUACGAGUGAGAAACUCUCAUCGUAGUCAACACCUUGAACUUAUCGAAAACCUUUUUGCGACAAUUCUAGCUUUGUAGACAGUAACACUACUAUCACUGUCUGUCUUCCUCUUGAAGAUCCAUUUAAUCUCAAUGGCUCGCCGAUCAUUGGGCAAGUCAACCAAAGUCCAUACUUUGUUCUUCAUUCAUGGAUCUCAUCUCAGAUUUCAUGGCCUCAAGCCAUUUCCCGGAAUCUGGGCUCAUCAUCGCUUCCUCAUAGUUCGUAGGUUCGUCAUGGUCAAAUAACAUGACCUCCAGAACAGGAUUACCGUACCACUCUGGUGUGGAUCUCACUCUGGUUUACCUACGAGGUUUGGUAGUAACUUGAUCUGAAGUUACAUGAUCAUCAUCAUUAACUUCCUCACUAAUUGGUGCAGGAGUCACAGGAACAGAUUUCUGUGAUGAACUACUUUCCAAUAAGGGAGCAGGUACAGUUACCUCAUCAAGUUCUACUUUCCUCCCACUCACUUCUUUCGAGAGAAACUCCUUCUCUAGAAAGGAUCCAUUUUUAGCAACGAAUGUCUUGCCUUCGGAUCUGUGAUAGAAGGUGUACCCAACUGUCUCCUUUGGGUAUCCUAUGAAGACACAUUUCUCCGAUUUGGGUUUGAGCUUAUCAGGAUGAAACUUUUUCACAUAAGCAUCGCAACCUCAAAAUUUUAAGAAACGACAACUUUGGUUUCUUGCUAAACCUCAGUUCAUAAGGCGUCGUCUCAACGGAUUUGAUGGUGCCCUAUUUAACGUGAAUGCAGCUGUCUCUAAUGCAUAACCCCAAAACUAUAGUGGUAAAUCGGUAAGAAACAUCAUAGAUUGCACUAUAUCCAAUAAAGUACGGUUAUGACGUUCGGACACACCAUUACACCGUGGUGUUCCAGGUGGCGUGAGUAGUGAAACUAUUUCACUUUGUUUUAACUGAAGGCCAAACUCGUAACUCAAAUAUUUUACCUCUGCGAUCAUAUCGUAGAAACUUUUAUUUUCUUGUUACGAUGAUUCUCCACUUCACUCUGAAAUUCUUUGAACUUUUCAAAUAUUUCAGACUUGUGUUUCAUCAAGUAGAUAUACCCAUAUCUGCUCAAAUCAUCUGUGAAGGUCAGAAAAUAAUGAUACCUGCUACGAGCCUCAAUAUUCAUCGGACCACAUACAUCUGUAUGUAUGAUUUCCAACAAAUCUGUUGCUCUCUCCAUAGUUCCGGAGAACAGCGUUUUAGUCAUCUUGCCCAUGAGGCACGGUUCGCAAGCAUCAAGUGAUUCAUAAUCAAGUGAUUCCAAAAUCCCAUCAGUAUGGAGUUUCUUCAUGCGCUUUACACCAAUAUGACCUAAACGGCAGUGCCACAAAUAAGUUGCACUAUCAUUAUUAACUUUGCAUCUUUUGGCUUCAAUAUUAUGAUUAUGUGUAUCACUACGAUCUAGAUCCAACAAACCAUUUUCGUUGGUGUGUAUGACCAUAGAAGGUUUUUAUUCAUGUAAACUGAACAACAAUUGUUCUCUAACUUAAAUGAAUAACCGUAUUGCAAUAAACAUGAUCAAAUCAUAUUCAUGCUCAACGCAAACACCAAAUAACACUUAUUUAGUUUCAACACUAAUCCCGAAAGUAUAGGGAGUGUGCGAUGAUGAUCAUAUCAAUCUUGGAACUACUUCCAACACACAUCGUCACCUCAUCUUUUACUAGUCUCUGUUUAUUCUGCUACUCCCGUUUUCGAGUUACUACUCUUUAGCAACUGAACCAGUAUCAAAUACUGAGGGGUUGCUAUAAACACUAGUAAGUACACAUCAAUAACAUGUAUAUCCAAUAUACCUUUGUUCACUUUGCCAUCUUUCUUAUCCACCAAAUACUUGGGGUAGUUCCGCUUCCAGUGACCAGUCCCUUUGCAGUAGAAGUACUUAGUCUCAGGCUUAGGUACAGACUGGGGCUUCUUCACUUGAGUAGCAACUUGCUUGCCGUUCUUUUGAAGUUCCCCUUCUUCCCUUUGCCCUUUUCUUGAAACUAGUGGUCUUGUCAACCAUCAACACUUGAAGUGGUCUCGUCAACCAUCAACACUUGAUGUUUUUCUUGAUUUCUACCUUCGUCGAUUUCAGCAUCACGAAGAGCUCGGGAAUUACUUUCGUCAUCCCUUGCAUACUAUAGUUCAUCACGAAGUUCUACUAACUUGGUGAUGGUGACUAGAGAAUUCUGUCAAUCACUAUUUUAUCUGGAAGAUUAACUCCCACUUGAUUCAAGCGAUUGUAGUACCCAGACAAUCUGAGCACAUGCUCACUAGUUGAGCGAUUCUCCUCCAUCUUUUAGCUAUAGAACUUGUUGGAGACUUCAUAUCUCUCAACUCGGGUAUUUGCUUGAAAUAUUAACUUCAACUCCUGGAACAUCUUAUAUGGUCCAUGACGUUCAAAACGUCUUUGAAGUCCCGAUUCUAAGCCGUUAAGCAUGGUGCACUAAACUUUCAAGUAGUCAUCAUAUUGAGCUAGCCAAACGUUCAUAACAUCUGCAUCUGCUCCUGCAAUAGGUCUGUCACCUAGCGGUGCAUCAAGGACAUAAUUUUUUCUGUGCAACAAUGAGUAUAAUCCUCAGAUCACGGAUCCAAUCCGCAUCUUUGCUACUAACAUCUUUCAACAUAAUUUUUCUCUAGGAACAUAUCAAAAAUAAACACAGGGAAGCAACAACGCGAGCUAUUGAUCUACAACAUAAUUUGCAAAAUACUAUCAGGACUAAGUUCAUGAUAAAUUUAAGUUCAAUUAAUCAUAUUACUUAAGAACUCCCACUUAGAUAGACAUCCCUCUAAUCAUCUAAGUGAUUACGUGAUCCAAAGCAACUAAACCAUGUCCGAUUAACACGUGAGAUGGAGUUGUUUCAAUGGUGAACAUCACUAUGUUGAUUAUAUCUACUAUAUGAUUCACGCUCGACCUUUCGGUCUCUGUGUUCCGAGGCCAUAUCUGUAUAUGCUAGGCUCGUCAAGUUUAACCUGAGUAUUCCGCGUGUGCAACUGUUUUGCACCCGUUGUAUUUGAACGUAGAGCCUAUCACACCCGAUUAACACGUGGUGUCUCAGCACGAAGAACUUUUGCAACGGUGCAUACUCAGGGAGAACACUUUUGUCUUGAAAUUUUAGUGAGAGAUCAUCUUAUAAUGCUACCGUCAGUCAAAGCAAGAUAAGAUGCAUAAAGGAUUAACAUCACAUGCAAUCAAUAUAAGUGAUAUGAUAUGGCCAUCAUCAUCUUGUGCUUGUGAUCUCCAACUCCGAAGCACCGUGCUCGUGAUCUCCAUCUCCGAAGCACCGUCAUGAUCACCAUCGUCACCGGCUCGACACCUUGAUCUCCAUCGUAGUAUCGUCGUCGUCUCGCCAACUUAUUGCUUUUACGACUAUCGCUACCGCUUAGUGAUAAAGUAAAACUAUUACAUGGCGAUUGCAUCUCAUACAAUAAAGCGACAACCAUAUGGCUCGUGCCAGUUGCCGAUAACUCGGUUACAAAACAUGAUCAUCUCAUACAACACAUUAUAUCACAUCAUGUCUUGACCAUAUCACAUCACAACAUGCCCUGCAAAAACAAGUUAGACGUCCUCUACUUUGUUGUUGCAUGUUUUACGUGGCUGCUAUGGCCUUAGCAAGAACCGUUCUUACCUACGCAUCAAAACCACAACGAUAGUUUGUCAAGUUGGUGCUGUUUUAACCUUCGCAAGGACCGGGCGUAGCCACACUCGGUUCAACUAAAGUGAGAGAGACAGACACCCGCCAGUCACCUUUAAGCAACGAGUGCUCCGAACGGUGAAACCAGUCUCGCGUAAGCGUACGCGUAAUGUCGGUCCGGGCCGCUUCAUCUCACAAUACCGCUGAACCAAAGUAUGACAUGCUGGUAAGCAGUAUGACUUAUAUCGCCCACAACUCACUUGUGUUCUACUCGUGCAUAGCAUCAACGCAUAAAACCAGGCUCGGAUGCCACUGUUGGGGAACGUAGUAAUUUCAAAAAAAUUCCUACGCACACGCAAGAUCAUGGUGAUGCAUAGCAACGAGAGGGGAGAGUGUUGUCCACGUACCCUCGUAGACCGACAGCGGAAGCGUUAUCACAACGCGGUUGAUGUAGUCGUACGUCUUCACGAUCCGACCGAUCAAGUACCGAACGUACCGCACCUCCGAGUUCUACACACGUUCAGCUCGAUGACGUCCCUCGAACUCCGAUCCAGCCGAGUGUUGAGGGAGAGUUUCGUCAGCACGACGGCGUGGUGACGAUGGUGAUGUUCCACCGACGCAGGGCUUCGCCUAAGCUCCGCAACGGUAUUAUCGAGGUGUAAUAUGGUGGAGGGGGGCACCGCACACGGCUAAGAGAUCUCAAGGAUCAAUUGUUGUGUCUCUGGGGUGCCCCUGCCCCCGUAUAUAAAGGAGUAAGGGAGGAGGAGGCCGGCCCUAGGAGGGGGCGCACCAAGUGUGGAGUCCUACUAGGACUCCCUAGUCCUAGUAGGAUUCCACCUCCCAUAUGGAAUAGGAAAAGAGGAAGGGAAAAAGAGAAGGAAGGAAGGGAGCGCCCCCCUUCCCUAGUCCAAUUCGGACCAGACCAAGGGGAGGGGUGCGGCCACCCUUGAGGCCCUUUUCCUUCUUUCCCGUAUGGCCCAAUAAGGCCCAAUACGUAUUCCCGUAACUCUCCGGUACUCCGAAAAAUACCCGAAUCACUCGGAACCUUUCCGAAGUCCGAAUAUAGUCGUCCAAUAUAUCGAUCUUUACGUCUCGACCAUUUCGAGACUCCUCGUCAUGUCCCCGAUCUCAUCCGGGACUCCGAACUCCUUCGGUACAUCAAAACUCAAUAAAACUGUCUUCAUAACGUUAAGCGUGCGGACCCUACGGGUUCGAGAACUAUGUAGACAUGACCGAGACACGUCUCCGGUCAAUAACCAAUAGCGGGACCUGGAUGCCCAUAUUGGCUCCCACAUAUUCUACGAAGAUCUUUAUCGGUCAGACCGCAUAACAACAUACGUUGUUCCCUUUGUCACCGGUAUGUUACUUGCCCGAGAUUUGAUCGUCGGUAUCUCGAUACCUAGUUCAAUCUCGUUACCGGCAAGUCUCUUUACUCGUUCCGUAACACAUCGUCCCGCAACUAACUCAUUAGUCACAAUGCUUGCAAGGCUUAUAGUGAUGUGCAUUACCGAGUGGGCCCAGAGAUACCUCUCCGACAAUUGGAGUGACAAAUCCUAAUCUCGAAAUACGCCAACCCAACAAGUACCUUUGGAGACACCUGUAGAGCACCUUUAUAAUCACCCAUUUACGUUGUGACGUUUGGUAGCACACAAAGUGUUCCUCCGGUAAACGGGAGUUGCAUAAUCUCAUAGUCAUAGGAACAUGUAUAAGUCAUGAAGAAAGCAAUAGCAACAUACUAAACGAUCGAGUGCUAAGCUAACGGAAUGGGUCAAGUCAAUCACGUCAUUCUCCUAAUGAGGUGAUCUCGUUAAUCAAAUAAAACUUAUGUCCAUGGUUAGGAAACAUAACCAUCUUUGAUUAACGAGCUAGUCAAGUAGAGGCAUACUAGUGACACUCUGUUUGUCUAUAUAUUCACACAUGUAUUAUGUUUCCGGUUAAUACAAUUCUAGCAUGAACAAUAAACAUUUAUCAUGAUACAAGGAAAUAAAUAAUACUUUAUUAUUGCCUCUAGGGCAUAUUUCCUUCAGUCGGCAACAUAUCCGUCGGCGUAGCCAGGAAGGCCGUCGGCAUAGAAAGGCCGUCGGCAUAGGCCCUAUCCCGACGGUGUCCGUACAUCUAUGCCGACGGCCCUGGCCGUCGGCAACGUUAUCGCCUAACGACGGCCGCCGUCAAAUGCUGACCAACGCCUGCUCGCCACGUGGCAUGUCUAUGCCGACGGCGUCUACGCAUGCCUGAACACUUUCACAUAUGCAUCGGGACCCGUGCGAUGUUUCGGUGACAUUGCUACACCCCGAAUCCCCCCACUAACCAGAUUCCCUCCGUGUCGAGCGUUUCCCCCCUCCGUGACACGGCGACAGCGACGACGUUCGUAACGGGGGGCAAUCGAUAUACCAUCGGGGUAUGUAUUUUUAGAUAAGGCAUAAUUAUCUUAUGGAAAAACAAAAAAUAAUAUAAAGUAUAAAAAAAAUAAAAAAAAUGUAUGCCGACGGCAGCUGCGCACAGGGAGGUACACUCCCUCGGAUCGAUGACGCGGCAUCGCACACGGAUCGGUGACGUGGCAGAGGGGCAUGGACCAGGCCUAUGCCGACGGCUAUGCCGUAGGCAUAUCUCUGCCACACAACGCCCCCCCGGCUCGGAUCGAUGACGUGUCGACGAUACGGAUCGGUGAUGUCAGCAACUCUAUGCCGACGGCAUAGCCGUCGGCAUAGAUAUGCCGACGGCCGCCGUUACCUCCCGUCGGCGUAGGUUCAACGCCGUCAAACGGUCAGCGCUGACCCGGGUAGGUGGGCCUGGGCUAUGCCGACGGGCCCCGUAGGCGUAUCUCGAAGGGUCCCGACGGCCUCAUCUAUGCCGACGGCCCCGUCGGCGUAGAUAGACGUAUGCCGACGGCUUUUCUACGCCUACGACCUGUCCUAGGCCGUCGGGAUAGGUCUAUAUAUGCCGACGGGGGCCGUCGGCAACCCAAGUUUUUCUGGUAGUGCGGCGGGCGAGUGCAAGCGGCGGGGUCAAGUUGCUGUCAUUGAUUUGUGGGCCACUAGCGGACACGAGCGGAUGAGAGGGGGCGAGGAGAGCGUCCGCUUUUGUCCUUGCAGAUGCAUUGUGGCCCAAGUUUGGUCUGGGUCUAAGGUUGGGCUGAACCGAAACGGACAUCUGUGGACAACUUUGUCUGUUUGGGUACUCCUGUUGGGCCAGGUUUUGCCCCAAAGGGAUGAAACCGGACCGGAUGGGGUCUAACAUUGGAGUUGGCCUUACACCUUACAUAUAUCUUCUACUACUACCAGGAUGUGCUCUUGCCAUGUGUAGUGGUCAGGGAAAAAAAUAUCCUAACCUCCAAAAGAAAGAAUUCACAGGCCUCACGCCAGCACCGAAGCCUACACCGGUGCGACAUAGAAGAGGCCGCACGACCAAACUGCGAAAGAUCAAGAAUCUAUGCCAAUGUGCCAUCGGCACUGCUACAAGCGCUCCCGUUCGAGAUGAGGCGGCUCGAGGAAACUUUAUUCGUCGGCUGACCCUGUCAUCACCAUGCGCCCCAAGAAAAUAGGGGUAUCUUUGCCACCUUAUUUUUGUGUAAACUUUUAUUUUAGGAACGCAAAAUUUUCGGGAUGGUGUUUCACAUGGCUACACGGUAGCACGACUCGUUGCCAUCAUUUGAUCGGUGCGUAGGGACCAUGCGAUUCGAAGUGUGCCAAGUGCAUGGACAGAGUGAUCAGAAGAAGAGUGUGAUUGCUGAUUUACGACGCGCAGUGAUGAUGAGUCCAUUCCUAGGAGUGUCAGCUACUUUUUAAUUUCCCUCCUCUUUAUUGCAUCGCUCUCACCCCAAUCCCCAUUAAUUGUCUCCCCAUUACUAUACGACCAUCAAUGUUGUCUCCGGCAGGGGUUCAAGCCUAGUGCAUCCACCCAUUCAUCGAGACCGAUGUAAAAAACAAGACAUAGGUACAAAUUUUAGGACAUGGGGCGUACUUGUGUUUUGGAGCAGAGAUUGCUCCUCAAGGGAUGAGGAUGCUAGGAUUGUGGGGCUUAGGGUAAUUCGAGGAAGGCUAUGGUUUGCACGGGGUUGGGUUUGUGGUGGAUUUUUUGUGCACAAGCACGCGCGGGGUGGGGGGGGGGGUCAAGUGAUAGAGAGGUUGGAUUUAUGUUUGGUAAUUUGGAUCCGGAGGCAGGGUGGUGGGGAUUAGAUGAAUCUGGACAACACACACACGCGCGGUCGAACAACAUACAAUUGGCUCAAGUGUUUGUGGAUACGAGGGCCAGUUCUUAGAGGAGAUGGAAUAUUCCCUGAUGGUUUCAUCCAGCGAGACGAAUUAAGGAGCGGAGGUGGGUGGGAUUUGUUUUUAUUAUUGUUGUUGUUGUCAUAGGAGUUACUGGCUGGAAUUCGAGAUUUGUUUUGUAGUAUUUUAUAUUGGUUUGCGCCUUUGGUGGUCCCUUUGGCGCAUUCGAAUUUUGUCUUGUGAAUUAUAGGGCUAGGUUUCCUUGUUGAUAACAUACCAUUCAUUUUCAUGUGUCCUUUAUUGUUUCUUUAUCUAACCUAUUUGUAGUCUAGCAUGCUUAGGGAUUCGAUGCAUGGUCUUCUUUGUAGAUAAUACACUUUUCCAUCUCGAGGUGAUGUGAUUGCCAGUCAUUGUGAUGAUUUCACCAUUUGUGUUGAUAGCUUGUUAUCAGUCAUUGUGUGCUUUUCUUUAACACCGGUGUCUCUAUAGAUUGUAUUGUAAUUGUCAUGAUUAUUAUUAUGAAGUUUCCACAUUGAUAAGUUUUCUAACUUGUUCAAAUUUUCAUGUUAUGGAUUGUGUAGCUACAUAUCACUUACUCCUUUAGUAUUUUACCAUCUAUGCUUAUAGUUUUUGCCAUGUGCUUGUCAUGUUCAUCAGUUUUUCUUUUUCUUUUCUCAUCAAUUCUUGUUGGUUCCUACAAAUAGCAUGUUGUACCCCAUUAUGUUGCCACAACAAAAAAAUGUUUGUUUCACUCACCAACAUUGUGAUGUUAUGCUGAAAAAUUUAACACCUAUUUUUAUUUUAUUUUAUGGGUAAUGAUAUUUUUACUUACUAGCUUAUUACUAGACAAUAUAUUAUGUUUUUACCAAAUGUGCUUAUUAUGUUGAGGACACCUUCUAUCUUCUGUGCUGGUCUUGAUAAUACCAACUGUGUGUAGUCAACUCAACAUGAUAAUAUGCUUUCCUUCCUAUUAUACAAUUUGUGUGUGUGUGUGUGUGCGGUGGGGGGGGGGUUCAUGUAUAGACUCGAAUGUGUAGAUGCAAAAUUUAGGACAUGGGGCGUACUUGUGUUUUGGAGCAGAGAUUACUCCUCAAGGGAUGAGGCUGAGGAUGCUAGGCUUGUGGGAGGUAGGGCCAUUCGAAGAAGGCUAUGGUUUGCACGACGUUGGGUUUGUGGCGGAUUUUUUGCGCGCAAGUGCGGGAUCAAGUGAUAGAGAGGUUGGAUUUAUGUUUGGUCAUUUGGAGCCUAAGGUGGGUAGGGUGGUGGGGAGUUAAUGCAUCUAGAGAACACACACGCAAAGUUGAACAGCAUGGAGUUGGUUCAACCGUUUGUCGAUAAGAGGGUCACUUCUUGGAGGAGGUGGAAUCUUCCCCAAUGGUUUCUUCUAGCAGUGCGAAUAGAGGAGAAGAGGUGGGUGGGAUUUGGUGUUAUUCUUCUUAUUGUUGUUAUGGGAGUUACUGGCUGGAUGGCGAGAUUUUUUUUUGUAGUGCACUUGGUGUUUGAUAUUGGUCUCUGCCUUCGGUGGCCUUUUUGGCGCAUUGGAAUUUUGUUUUUCCAGUUAUGGGGCUAGGUUUCCUCGUUGAUUACAGACCUUUCAUUUUUAUGCGUCCUUCAUCAUUUUUUAUCUGAUCUGUUUGUAGUCUAGCAUGCAUACAUGCUUAGAGAUUUGAUGCACGAUUUUGUUUGUAGAUAAUACACUUUUCCAUCUCGAGGCGAUGUGAUUGCCGGUCGUUGUGAUGAUUUCACCAUUUGUGUUGAUAGGUUGUUAUCAUUCACCAUGUACUUUUCUUUAACGCCCGUGCUACUGUAGAUUGUAUUGUAAUUGUCAUGAUUAUUAUUAUGAAGUUCCACAUUGAUAAUGGACAUUGUCAUGUUAUGGAUUGUGUGGUUAUAUAUCAAUUACUCCUUUAGUACUUUAACAUCUAUGCUUAUAGUUUUAGCCAUCUGCCUGUAAUGUUCAUCCGUUUUUUCUCUUCAAUGCUUGUUGGCCCUACAAAUUGCAUGGUGUAUCCCAUUAUGUUGCCACAACAAAAAUUGUUUGUUUCACUCACCAACAAUGUGAGGUUAUGCUGAAAAUUUAUGACAUAUUUGUAUUUUCUUAGUGGUGAUGAUAUUUUUUACUUAUUAGACAAUAUGUUACAUUUUUACCAAACGUGCCUAUUAUGUUGAGCGCACCUCCUAUCUUCCCUGCUAGUCUUGACAAUACCAACUUGUGUCUAGUCAACUCAACAGGAUAAUAUGCUUUCCUUCCUAUUAUAGAAAUUUGUGUGUGUGUGNNNNNNNNNNNNNNNNNNNNNNNNNNNNNNNNNNNNNNNNNNNNNNNNNNNNNNNNNNNNNNNNNNNNNNNNNNNNNNNNNNNNNNNNNNNNNNNNNNNNNNNNNNNNNNNNNNNNNNNNNNNNNNNNNNNNNNNNNNNNNNNNNNNNNNNNNNNNNNNNNNAUAGACUCAAAAGUGCAGAUGCAAAUUUUAGGACAUGGGUCAUACUUGUGUUUUGGAGCAGAGAUUGCUCCUCAAGGGAUGGGGAUGCUAGGCUUGUAGGGUUUAGGGCCAUUCGAGGAAUGGUACGGUUUGCACAAUAUUGGGUUUGUGGUGGACUUUUUGCGCGCAAGUGGGGAUCGAGUGAUAGAGAGGUCGGAUUUAUGUUUGGUCAUUUGGAUCCUAAGGGGGCAGGGUGGUGGGGAGUUGAUGCAUGUGGACAACACACACACACGUAGUUGAACAACAUGCAAUUGGUUCAACUGUUUGUGGACACAAGUGACAUUUCUUGGAGGAGCUGGAAUCUUCCCUGAUGGUUUCUUCUAGCAGGUUGAAUUGAGGAAAGGAGGUGGGUGGGAUUUGUUGUUCUUCUUAUUGUUGUUGUUAUGGGAGUUACUGGCUGGAAUGCGAGAUUUGUUUUGGCGUGCACUUGAUGUUUGAUAUUGGUUUGUUCCUUUGGUGGUUGUUUUGGCGCAACGAAAUUUUGUUUUUUGAAUUAUGGGCAAGGUUUCCUGGUUGAUUACAUACAAUUCAUUUUUAUGUCUACUUCAUCGUUGCUUUAUUUGAUCUGUUUGUAGUCUAGCAUUGUGAGGUUAUGCUUAAAAUUUUGCCAGCUUUUUUAUGGGUGACGAUUUUUUUUCUUUCUAGACAAUAUGUUAUGUUUUUACCAAAUGUGCCUACUAUGUUGAGCACACUUCCUAUCUUCCCAACUAGUCUUGAAAAUACCAACUUGUGUCUACUCAAUUCAACAUGAUGAUAUGCUUUCCUUCCUAUUAUAGACAAUUUGGUGGUGGGGGUGGGGGGUGGGGGGGUUGUGUGGUUUGGCGCGUAUAGACUCGAAUGUGUAUAUGCACAUUUCAGGACAUGGGGCGCGCUUGUGUUUUGGAGAUGAGAUUGCUCCACAAGGCAUAUUGAUGCUAGGCUUAUGGGGUUAGGGCCAUUCGAGGAAGGCUAUGGUUUGCACGAUGUUGGGUUUUUGCCGGAUUUUUUGCGAGCGAGUUGGGGAUCAAGUGAUAGAGAGGGUGGAUUUAUGUUUGGUCAUUUGGAGCCUAAGGGGAGACAUGGUGGUGGGGAGUUGAUGCAUCUCGACAACACACACGCACAGUUGAACAUAUGCAAUUGGUUCAACUGUUCGUGCAUACGAGGGCCAGUUCUUUGAGGAAGUGGAAUCUUUCUUGAUGGUUUCUUCUAGCGGGACGAAUUGAGGAGAGGAGGUGGGUGGGAUUUGUUGUUAUUCUCAUGUUAUUUUUAUGGGAGAUACUGGCUGGAUAACGACAAUUGUUUUUGCAGUGCAUUUGGUGUUUUAUAUUUGUUUGUUCCUUUCGUGGUCCUUUUGGUGCAUUGGAAUUUUUUUUUGAAUUAUGGGGCUAGGUUUCCUGGUUGAUUACACACCAUUCAUUUUUAUGUGUGCUUCAUCGUUUCUUCGUCUGAUCUGUUUGUAGUCUAGUAUGCAUAGUACAUGCUUAGGGAUUUGAUGCAUUGUUUUUUUGUAGGUAAUACACUUUUCCAUCUCGGGUUGAUGUGAUUGCCAAUCAUUGUGAUGAUUUCAUCAUUUGUGUUGAUAGCUUGUAAUCAGCCACUAUGUGCUUUUCUUCAACACCCGUGCCGCUGUAGACUGUAUUGUACUCCCUUCGUAAAGAAAUAUAAGAGCGUUUAGAUCACUAAAGUAGUGAUCUAAAAGCUCCUAGAUUCCUUCAUAGAGGGAGUAAUUUUCAUGAUUAUUAUUACGAAAUUGCCACAUUGAUAAGUCUUUUAAGUCAUGGAAAUGCUCAUGUUAUCGAUUGUGUAGCUAUAUUAUCACUUACUCCUUUAGUCUUUUACCAUCUAUGUUUAUAGUUUUUGCCAUGUGCCUGUCAUGUUCAUUAGUUUUCUCUUCUUUGCCAGUUGGUUCCUACAAAUAUCAGGGUUCAUCCCAUUAUGAUUCCACAUCAAAAAAAGUCAGUUUCACCCACCAACACUGUGAGGUUAUGCUUUAAAAUUUACUACCUAUUUUAUGUCAAUUUUAUGGGUGUUGAUAUUUUUUUCUUACUAGAUAAUAUGUUAUGUUUUUUUAUCAAAUGUGCCUAUUAUGUUGAGCACACCUCCUAUGUUUCCAGCUAGUCUUGAAAAUACCAACUUAUGUCUACUCAACUUAGUAGGAUAACAUGCUUUCAUUCACAUUAUACAAAAGUAACUAGCUGCCAACGUCGAUAGUUGUGCAAACAUGUUCUGUUUGUGCAGUUUUAACGACAUGAUGAUAAAUCAAGGUUUGUGCACCGAUAUUGAUUACAUAUUUAAGUUUGGGCACAUAGAUUGUGAGUUCCUGGUCAGACGACGCUUAUCACAUAUGUGCACAUUUAAAAAUUUGCAUCUAGUAAAGUUACAUGGUGGGUUCCCCAUUUUACCUAUGCUUUAUGAUUCACCCUUAAUUUCUAUAUUAGCGAGAUAUGCCGAUGAAUUGGAUGACAUGAAAAAAUUUAGUCUUCUUUCUUCUAAGAUCAUCAAGAGGCAAAGAGUGAUGUAGAAGUGAUGAUGGCGCCGGGCAGGCAAGUGGCAAUGACAAGAGGGAGAUGCCAACUGCCAAGGACCGGGCACUUUGUACUUGAAUUUUGUCCAUCACAGUUAUGUGUGUUGAUGGACGAGGAUGACCUCUACAUGCAAGUCAUCCCAAGAGGGUUAAGGCACUGAUCAAGGGCUUGAUUCCCAGGUCUUUCAAGCUGAAGACAUGCGAAAGGUGCUCAUGGUUUGUGGAGUUUUGGAGAUUUGCAGGUGACCUUGUAUUUAACCAUGGAUAGCCUCAAUUUGCAGCAAUACAUGGCAAGUAAAAUGACAUGUUGGUCUUUAAGCUCAAGGGAGAGGCCCUGUUCGAGGUGAAGAUAUUUUACGCACAUACAUCCAUGGUGAGAGUGAUCAGUUGCCCCAAUCACCCUUAGCAACACCGAAUCGAUAUGUUUGUCGUAUGUCUUGCUACACACGUGUUAUUUGUUGUUCUUGAUAAUCAGGUGAUGUUAAUUGUGGAUUUUUGGACAAGGGGCAUGCAUAAAGAACCUCCAGCAAGAUGACAUUUUAGCUUGUUCAACACCUACAAUAUGACAACUUUCUUUAGUGACAUUAAAGUGCUUGUACAUUCCUAAGAAUUUGUUUGCAUCUAUGUGCCCACCUUUUUCGCGUGUGAUGGUUUGGAUAUGCUAUUCAUUUUUUACUAAAUUACAUUCCAUAACAUUAGUGAACAGUUUAGAAUUUUUUGCAUGAAAAAUUAUAUGAUUAUGCUAUGUAUAAAUGAUUUGAAUGUGUUUUACCUUUCUUUCUGCUCUUUAAGAUUUCGAGAAAGUAGAGACGAGGAGAGGUGUGGAUUAAGUGAUUUUCGAGGGGAGGUAUACUAUUCACGAACUUUUCUAUGGUAGUUUUUUUGCCAAAUUCCCACCAUGCAGUUGGUGAGGUAAAGCUAUUCCAUGGCAACUCAACACGUUCUGGUUUGGCAAGGGGGAGCGGGUAUCGGUAUCUUGCAUCGCUGUAGUGAAAAAGACAUGCACUGGCAGAGAGGUAAAUCUACAUGUCCCAUCUAGUGCUUGUGUGUGUCCGAUCGCUCGUUCAGAUUCCAUCUCGCGCACAUCAGACCGUCACACUAAAGACCUAUAGUGCAUAUGCUCGUGCGCUAUGCAUGCCCUUUUAAGAUUUAUAAUGUUUCGGAAUGGCAUUCAUCCACAAGUUAAUGAGUUACAUAAAUACAGUGCAUAUAUGCCAGGCUUGAUUUAAGUAUGUAUUUGAAUAUAUAUGCAACGCAUCUAUCAUCUAGUAUGUAUCAUUGCAUUCGUGGAUGAUGACCAUGUAUUGUCAAUUGUGAGGUCACUACAGCUAAAUAGUAUAUUGGUCAAACCUUCAUUGAGGAACGCAAAUUUAUUAUGUUGCCGUUUCACGUGGCUACACACUAGCAUGGCUCGUGGUCGUCCUUUUAAUUGGUGUGUAGGGACCAUGUGAUUCGCAGUGUGCCAAAUGGAAUGGACAGAGUUAUCGGAAGAAGAGCGAGAUUGUUGAUUUAUGACUCGUAGUGAUGACGAAUCCAUUCCUAGGAGGCAUUAGUUUCUUUCAUUUACUUUCCUCCUCUUCAUUGCAUCGCUCUCGCCCCAAUCCCAUUAUCUCUUCAUUACUUGGCGACCAUCGACGCCGUCUCCGGUAGGGAGUCGAGCCUAGUGCAUGCACCCAUUCAUCGAGACCGAGGUAAGAAACAAGAGCCCCUUUUCCUGAUGAUUCGAGUUGUUUUUUGGGGGUGGGGGUUGUUUGGUGUGGAUUGUAUAUAUUCGGAUGUGUAGAUGAAAAUUUUAGGACAUGUGGCGUACUUGUGUUUUGGAGCGGAGAUUGCUCCUCAAGGGAUGGGGAUGCUAGCCUUGUGGUGUUAGGGUCAUUCGAGGAAGGAUAUGGUUUGCAUGACAUUGGGUUUGUGUUGGAUUUUUGGCGCAUAAGUGGGGGAUCAAGUGAUAGAGAGGUUGGAUUUAUGUUUGGUCAUUUGGAUCCUAAGGGGGCAGGGUGGUGGGGAGUUGAUGCAUGUGGACAACACACACACGCAGUUGAACAACAUGCAAUUGGUUCAACUGUUUGUGGAUACAAGUGACAUUUCUUGGAGGAGCUGGAAUCUUCCCCAAUGGUUUCUUCUAGCAGGAUGAUUGAGGAGAGGAGGUGGGUGGGAUUUGUUGGUCUUCUUAUUGUUGUUGUUAUGGGAGUUACUGGCUGGAAUGCGAGAUUUGUUUUGGCGUGCAGUUGAUGUUUGAUGAUAUUGGUUUCUUCCUUUGGUGGUUACUUUGGCGCAAUGAAAUUUUACUUUUUGAAUUAUGGGCAAGGUUUCCUGGUUGAUUACAUACAAUUCAUUUUUUGUGUGGUUCAUCGUUGCUUUAUUUGAUCUGUUUGUAGUCUAGCAUUGUGAGGUUAUGCUUAAAAUUUUGCCACCUUUUUUUAUGUGUGACGUUUUUUUUUCUUACUACACAAUAUGUUAUGUGUUUACCAAAUGUGCCUAGUAUGUUGAGCGCACUUCCUAUCUUCCCUACUAGUCUUGCAAAUACCAACUUGUGUCUAGUCAACUCAACAUGAUGAUAUGCUUUCCUUCCUAUUAUAGACAAUUUGGUGGUGGGGAUGGGUUGUGUGGUGUGGCACGUAUAGACUCGAAUGUGUAUAUGAAGAUUUGAGGACAUGGGACGCGCUUGUGUUUUGGAGAUGAGAUUUCUCCACAAGGGAUAUUGAUGCUAGGCCUAUGGGGUUAGGGCCAUUAGAGGAAGGCUAUGGUUUGCACGAUGUUGGGGUUUUGCCGGAUUUUUUGCGAGCGAGUGGGGGAUGAAGUGAUAGAGAGGUUGGAUUUAUGUUUGGUCAUUUGGAGCCUAAGGGGAGACAUGGUGGUGGGGAGUUGAUGCAUCUCGACAACACACACGCACAGUUGAACAACAUGCAAUUGGUUCAACUGUUCGUGCAUACGAGGGCCAGUUCUUUGAGGAAGUGGAAUCUUUCUUGAUGGUUUCUUGUAGCGGGACUAAUUGAGGAGAGGAGGUGGGUGGGAUUUGUUCUUAUUCUCAUGUUAUUUUUAUGGGAGUUACUGGCUGGAUAUCGACAAUUGUUUUGCAGUGCAUUUGGUGUUUUAUAUUUGUUUAUUCCUUUCUUGGUCCUUUUGGUGCAUUGGAUUUUUUUUGAAUUAUGGGGCUAGGUUUCCUGGUUGAUUACACACCAUUUAUUUUUAUGUGUGCUUCAUCGUUUCUUCGUCUGAUCUGUUUGUAGUCUAGCAUGCAUAGUACAUGAUUAGGGACUUGAUGCAUGGUUUUGUUUGUAGGUAACACACUUUUCCAUCUCAGGGUGAUGUGAUUGCCAAUCGUUUUGAUGAUUUCAUCAUUUGUGUUGAUAGCUUUUAAUCAGCCACUAUGUCCUUUUGUUUAACACUCGUGCCGCUGUAGAUUGUUUUGUACUCCCUUCGUAAAGAAAUAUAAGAGCGUUUAGAUCACUAAAGUAGUGAUCUAAACGCUUCUAUAUUCCUUCAUAGAUGGAGUGAUUUUUAUGAUUAUUAUUACGAAGUUGCCACAUUGAUAAGUCUUUUAAGUCAUGGAAAUGGUCAUGUUAUCGAUUGUGUAGCUAUAUUAUCACUUACUCCUUUAGUCUUUUACCAUCUAUGUUUAUAGUUUUUGCCAUGUGCCUGUCAUGUUCAUCAGUUUUCUCUUCUUUCCCUGUUGGUUCCUACAAAUAUCAUGGUGCAUCCCAUUAUGUUUCCACAACAAAAAAAAUUUGUUUCACCCACCAACACUGUGAGGUUAUGCUUUAAAAUUUACUACCUAUUUUAUGUCAAUUUUUAUGGGUGUUGAUAUUUUUUCUUAGUAGAUAAUAUGUUAUGUUUUUAUCAAAUGUGCCGAUUAUGUUGAGCACACCUCCUAUGUUUCCAGCUAGUCUUGAAAUUACCAACUUGUGUUUACUCAACUCAGUAGGAUAACAUGCUUUCAUUCACAUUAUACAAAAGUAACUAGCUGCCAACGUCGAUAGUUGUGGAAACAUGUUAUGUUUGUGCUAUUUUAACGAAACAUCGAUAAAUCAAGGUUUGUGCACCGAUAUUGAUUACAUAUUUGAGUUUGGGCACACAGAUUGUGAGUUCUUGGUCAGACGACGCUUAUCACAUAUGUGAACAUUUAAAAAUGUGUAUCUAGUAAAGUUACAUGUUGGGUUCCCCACGUUACCUAUGCUUUAUGAUUCACAUUUAGUUUCUAUGUUAGCGACUAAUACGUCUGCAACGUAUCUAUAAUUUUUGAUUGUUCCAUAUUGUUAUCUUAUCAUUCUUGGAUGUUUUAUAAUCAUUUUAUAGCAACUUUAUAUCAUUUUUUGGGACUAACCUAUUGACAUAGUGCCAAGUGCCAGUUGCUGUUGUUUGCAUGUUUUUUU